GCGGCGUGCUUAACACAUGCAAGUCGAACGAUGAACCACUUCGGUGGGGAUUAGUGGCGAACGGGUGAGUAACACGUGGGCAAUCUGCCCUUCACUCUGGGACAAGCCCUGGAAACGGGGUCUAAUACCGGAUACGAGCCUCCAGGGCAUCUUGGGGGUUGGAAAGCUCCGGCGGUGAAGGAUGAGCCCGCGGCCUAUCAGCUUGUUGGUGAGGUAAUGGCUCACCAAGGCGACGACGGGUAGCCGGCCUGAGAGGGCGACCGGCCACACUGGGACUGAGACACGGCCCAGACUCCUACGGGAGGCAGCAGUGGGGAAUAUUGCACAAUGGGCGAAAGCCUGAUGCAGCGACGCCGCGUGAGGGAUGACGGCCUUCGGGUUGUAAACCUCUUUCAGCAGGGAAGAAGCGAAAGUGACGGUACCUGCAGAAGAAGCGCCGGCUAACUACGUGCCAGCAGCCGCGGUAAUACGUAGGGCGCAAGCGUUGUCCGGAAUUAUUGGGCGUAAAGAGCUCGUAGGCGGCUUGUCACGUCGAUUGUGAAAGCCCGAGGCUUAACCUCGGGUCUGCAGUCGAUACGGGCUAGCUAGAGUGUGGUAGGGGAGAUCGGAAUUCCUGGUGUAGCGGUGAAAUGCGCAGAUAUCAGGAGGAACACCGGUGGCGAAGGCGGAUCUCUGGGCCAUUACUGACGCUGAGGAGCGAAAGCGUGGGGAGCGAACAGGAUUAGAUACCCUGGUAGUCCACGCCGUAAACGGUGGGAACUAGGUGUUGGCGACAUUCCACGUCGUCGGUGCCGCAGCUAACGCAUUAAGUUCCCCGCCUGGGGAGUACGGCCGCAAGGCUAAAA
This 845-nucleotide ribosomal RNA is filed under the name Streptomyces sp. Sp080513IM-19. Its description in RNAcentral is "bacterial SSU rRNA". It matches the Rfam family "Bacterial small subunit ribosomal RNA", at positions 39 to 899 of the family's 1533-position model. The record is from RNAcentral. Lineage: Bacteria; Bacillati; Actinomycetota; Actinomycetes; Kitasatosporales; Streptomycetaceae.